Molecule: long non-coding RNA, 1560 nt
Organism: Calidris pygmaea (Spoon-billed sandpiper)
Lineage: Eukaryota; Metazoa; Chordata; Aves; Charadriiformes; Scolopacidae
Source: Ensembl
GGGAGGGAGCGCGGAGGAAGGGCCGCGGGGACGGGGGGGGGUGGCGGGGGGAGGGAGAAUACCUCAGGCGCUGCUCGCACCGCCGCCGCGCAGCCCCGCUCCCGCCCGCCGCCGCUGCCUGCCGGGAGCGGGGCGGGGCGGACCGGGCCGGCAUGGCGGCGGGGACGCACCGGAAACUGCGCAGCACCAGCGGCGGCAGCCGCCGGGCGGGCGGUGGCGCCGGGCGCGCUUGAGGCCAUCGGCCGCCCUGAGGCAACGGCCGGCGAGUAACGGCCGCGCAGUAACGGCCGGGCGCUGGGGAGCGCGGCGGCGAGGGCCGGGAGCGACGGCGCGGGGAGCCGAGGCGCGGAGGCCAGCAGGUGAGAACGGGGCCGGGGCCGCGCCGCCGGGCCCGGCAGGCCGGGUGACUCCCGGCGAGAGGGGCGGCCGCGGGCCGCGCCGAGCCAGCCCUUGGGCAGGCCACGGGGGUGCCUCUCGGGCGGGCUGCGGUGGGAGGGCUGCCUGACGGGUUCCGAAAUGCCGACUGAGUAUUUCAUGUCAGUAGCUGUGUGGUUAGGGCGGGCGUUACCUUUGUUCAUUAAAGCUGGUUGGAAGAGUGCUUCAUGAACCACAGAAUCAUUGAAUGGCUUGAGUUGGUAGGGAAGAUCAUCGAGUGUCCCUGGGCCGGGACACCUUCCACUAGAGCAGGUUGCUCAAAGCCCUGUCCAACCUGGCCAAAGGAUGGACUUGGUGAGGUACUAGUGCACCUGUUUAGAUAGGUAUAUCCCCCUUGCACAGUUUUCUUAUGUUCUGACAAUUAACUCUAUAAACACUUUUUUUCUUCUACAGUCUUUCCAUAGCACAUGGAUCACUCUGGAUGUGGAUUAAAAACUAAGGAGGCUGUUUAACCACAGGUUUAUCUGAAACAGUUGAGCACCUUUUGGUGUUGAAGGAAGGACAACCCCCAGCACAGCCCUGGCAACGAGCUAGCUGGCAACCCGCCCCUGUGCCCCCCGCUUCCACUGCCUGGGGCCAGGGGCUGAGGCUCUGCCUACACUAAGUCCCUUCCUGAAAUCUUGCAUCUCUUAGCUACAGCUAGAGUAAACCACACUAGCUUAGGCUACGUUUUUUCCCCACACUAACUCACAUUUUUUUUCCGAAGGACUGAAUGAUUUGUCAACAAGUUCCUGUCCCUUCUCAUACACCCAUAAAAGCAUUUAAUAUGAGGAGGCUUAAGAGAAGUCUGACUGCAGGAAAAACUUUUAGAACAGCAGAGUAUAACGCUGCAUGCAGGUUUAUUUUGCAACUUUAUCAGUUUUACCUUUAUAUACCUUAUUCUGUGUUAGUCUUCUUGCAGAGAAGACAUUUACACUGAAAGGGAGAUCUGCAAUUCUGGUUAGCUCUGACAGGCUGUGCGUAGAGAAAGUUACUUUGUGACAGCAAUGAUGUCUUAUUACUGAUGCACUUAAUGGGACACAUUUUGUGGCUACUAUUGUAAUUUUGGGGGAGGCAGCUGUGAUUUGAAUAUUUAUACUUAUAACUUCAAAUAAAGAAAAAACUUACAACUCUGAUUUCUUCUUG